AUGAUAAGGCUGCUGACAAAGAUAAAAACUGUAGCUAAAGAUCGAAAGCAAUCUCCCCGGAGAGGGAUGAGAGCAGAGAUUCCAUUCCGACUCUGCUGCUCCCAGGUUCUGCGUGAAGUCCGCAACCGCUCAGUCUUCGUCUCUUCUCCGAACGGCCUGGUGAUGGCGAAUUUAAUAACCGAGACGCCACCGAAGGGACCAGCCGUGAGAGCACACGCCGUGCGGAUGCCCCGGACCCAGGAUGACAUCAGGAGGAAGCCACAGUUUUCUGUCUCCUGGCUCCAUCUUCCCAGCACCCCACCAUGAAGCCUCCCCACCAACGGGACCCUGGCCUUGAGGGCACCAGAAGCUCUGGAAUCCAGAUA
This 365-nucleotide long non-coding RNA is filed under the name Fukomys damarensis (Damara mole-rat). Its description in RNAcentral is "lncRNA (ENSFDAG00000022785.1)". The record is from RNAcentral. Lineage: Eukaryota; Metazoa; Chordata; Mammalia; Rodentia; Bathyergidae.